GUUAGGAAUAUUGGACAAUGGGCGCAAGCCUGAUCCAGCCAUGCCGCGUGAGUGAUGAAGGCCUUCGGGUUGUAAAGCUCUUUAGUCCACGAAUAUAAUGACUGUAGUGGAAGAAUAAGCCCCGGCUAACUUCGUGCCAGCAGCCGCGGUAAUACGAAGGGGGCGAGCGUUAUUCGGAAUCACUGGGCGUAAAGCGUGCGUAGGCUGUUUUGUAAGUCAGAAGUGAAAGCCCAGGGCUUAACCCUGGAAUUGCUUUUGAAACUACAAGACUCGAAUUCGGGAGAGGAUAGCGGAAUUGUCAGUGUAGCAGUGAAAUGCGUAGAUAUUGACAGGAACACCAGUGGCGCAAGCGGCUAUCUGGACCGAUAUUGACGCUGAGGUGCGAAAGCGUGGGGAGCAAACAGGAUUAGAAACCCUGGUAGUCC
Molecule: ribosomal RNA, 425 nt
Filed under: uncultured bacterium
Lineage: Bacteria
Description: partial 16S ribosomal RNA
Rfam family: Bacterial small subunit ribosomal RNA
Source: RNAcentral